This 648-nucleotide long non-coding RNA is filed under the name Trifolium pratense (red clover). RNAcentral's name for it is "long non-coding RNA (TPRA_LNC004160)". The record is from RNAcentral. Lineage: Eukaryota; Viridiplantae; Streptophyta; Magnoliopsida; Fabales; Fabaceae.
GGCCUUGUGCUAUAUUUUAAGUAUGAAAUGUUUGAAUGGGCUUUGGACCACGUUUAUGAAUAAAAUGUUUAAGUUAUGAUCCAAGUGAUACCAGAGACUACCUAUAUAGGAGUUGGAUAAUCUGGUUGGGUUCCCGGAGGGAAUUCCACAUGACGACAAGAUGAGUCAAGGAGUCGUGUCCUAGCCCUUGAUAAGGAAUUUGACUGACUAGGUAGACCUCUUGAGCUUAACUCACCUCAGGUUGUCUACAUAAAAAUGAACCUAGAUAAUUAUUGUGUGAUACAUAUUAUUAUAUGCUAUGUAAUGAUAAAUGAAUAUGAUAAUGCUUAUAAGAUGAUCAAUUGACAACCAGGUUUCCCAUAUGACUACUGACACCCUAGGUGUAGUAGGAACUCACUGAGGCUUAGAGUCUCAACCCACUCCCUUUUAUUUUUUUCAGAUAAACAGGAUUAUCAAUACAGGGGUAAGAAGGAAGCUGAUGAUCGAGGCUUAGCUUGGAUUAUCUUGAGAUAUUAACAUUAGUUUUUUUCCUUGUUUUGUAUUACUCUGUUUAGAUUCCUUUCCGCUGUGACGUAUCAGUUUACUACGUUGUACUUAUACGUUGUAAAUGAAACAUGUUAUUAUGUAAUUUUAAUGUAUCUAGAUUUC